This 10386-nucleotide unclassified non-coding RNA is filed under the name Ooceraea biroi (clonal raider ant). Its description in RNAcentral is "uncharacterized LOC105284481, transcript variant X1". The record is from RNAcentral. Lineage: Eukaryota; Metazoa; Arthropoda; Insecta; Hymenoptera; Formicidae.
GUGCCUCACCCUGUAUAUAGCACAUUACCGUCUAGAUAGGUACGGUCUAACAUAAUAUAAUAGAUGCACGAUAGCAACAGGCAGUUGCCGCCCUCUCGCGAUCAACGCUUCAGUAGGACGCUGUUGAUGACGAAUAUAUUAUAUACCUGUGUCAUAAAAUUUUUCAUAUUUACACUUUGCAUUGUAAUAUCUCCACUUGUACAAGCAAAAAUAAAAAUAAUUUUCUGAUGUACAGUGAACAUCAGCUAUCGAUUGAGUCUAAUCGCGAAGUUAAUCCAUUCAGCCGUUACUGAAAUCCGAUAAUCGAGGGUGUGCUCAACUAAUUGCUUCGCGUGUAUGUACAUAGGCGGUUUCGCCGUUCGUAUGUCGCUUUGCUCAUGCACUCGUUGCAAGACAUGUCUCUUGAUGAUAAUGUGAGAAAGAUUCUCAGAUUAUUUCCGGUGAACUUAUUACCAGCCUUUCAACUUGUUGCUACGAAAUAAGCGUUGAUCAUAAAAUGAACUAAUGAGCAUUUUACGAGACAUUUUAAUACAAUAAAAAAAAGAAUCCGUUCAAGCUCUCUGAAUCGUAAGAGAGAUAUCAGAAUUCUCCACGAGUACGUUUCUUCCAUCCAACUAAAAUAAAUGGAAUAAAAGUGUUUCAUGGGUUACUUCGUUACGACCGUGCGAAUAAAACUCUAGGCAUUGUUAUCGUAUCCUGCCAGAGUGGAAAUUAAAUUCUCGCGAAACAACAGCUAAACUUCCUAGGAAAGUUUCAUCCGUAAUCUCUAAUGAACUUUUCAGUAUUUUUCGUUUUUUUAAUGGCUUUGUUAUUAGGAAACUAAGGGAAGUAACAUACGACAAUAGUUAAACGAUAAUGGAUAAAAGACAGAGUUGGAUUACAAGUUUAUCUAUAACGAAAUCAUUGCGCGUAUAAUAUUAACACUUAAAGAAGCUACUAUAUAAAUAUGUUAUUAAAAUUUAUGUACUUACAUGUAUAUUAUUUUUGCUAAAAAUAAUACAGAUUUUCCAUUCAACCCAAUAUUACACAUUAAAUAAAUAUAGAAAUUGACAUUGAAUAUUAUCGAAAGGCUUGUAUCUGUUCCUCAAUUAUUUUUUCUGCUUCAAAUGGCUUUUUUGACAAAGGAGGCUUUUUUAAGGAGACAGAACAAACACAUAAAGAAAUAUUCAAUAUGUUCAUAGUUUACUGAAAACAUCUUUUGUAUGGAUGUGCUCCGCGACGAAACUUGGCUCCGGAAGUACGAAUUUCCGGUGACUCCAACACGCCAAGUAAUAGAGAGUAAAACCUUUCACCAAUAUAGGAUGAUUGAAGCAAUUUAUGUCAAAGCGCCUUCUCAUACAUACUAGGGUGGAUACGUAUGCUAUAUUUAUAAAAUUGUUUCUUGCGUUAUCGCUUUGGACUCCUCUUAAAAUCGUUCCAUUUGGAGAAGUAUGAAAUCGUACCAACUGUAAACUCAGUCGGAUAACGGAAACACAUGACACAAUCCUGCUAAAGGUGAAACAAAUAAUAUUUUUCACGAAAAGUGGAAAAAUGCGAUAAAAAGAAUAAAAAUUAAAUAUUUUUAUUUGUACAUGUUGACCAUUAUGUUUACUAGAAAACGCACAUGAGGAAAAUAAAGAAGUGAAAAUACUCUGUGAAUGUAAUUUUAUAAAUCCUUGGUAAGAGUAGAUGUCUUCAGUAGAUUGCUUCCUCUUCUCAUUUCUCGACAAAACUUGAUUAAAAUCAUACAUAAGCUUAACUUCUCCUCCUGUUGUGUCAUUUACGACUUUUAGCGUUUAAAACUUUCCAUCCCGAUUUGAAAACCAAUUUCAUUUACCCACACAGUAAGAUCUUUCUCGAGAUCCAUCUAUUGAAUAUUGUUCGAAGAAACGAUUUGAUUAUUAUGGUAAUGCUCAAUUCCACAGUUCAAAUAAUUUGGAACAUUUUUUGCAUUUAUUCGUAGUCUUUUUAUCGAUUCAUCGGAUAAUAGAAUGCUAUCAUUUCAAUGAUUUUACCAUUCUUUUAUUUGUUUCAAUUGUAAUGUGUCUGUCAAAACAUCCCAGCGCUGUUGUUUCUGGUAUCAAAUACAUUAAUAAUCGUGAAAUUGCGACAUUACUUGUGUAAUGUAACACGGCUUAUGUUUUUAUCAUUUUUACGAUAAAGAUCUUUUAAAAACUGAGAAAUCUUGAGAGGAAGCUUUUACUUCAAUUGCAACUUGGAUCCAUGCUUUUACGUACAAAAUAAGGAGAAAUACGCAAACGUCUCAGAGUCCAACAUUUUCUUUGGUCGUAAUAUUGAACUCGUCUCGAAAUAAAAACAUUUUGAAACAGUAAAUGGCCAUUGAGCAUGGUGAAAAGCUCCUGGAGCUCGAAAAGGCAUACCACCUAGAAAAUACAACCACGAGUUUGAGUAAUUCUUGGUGAUCUUUUCGAUUAUUGUUCCUUUUCUAACGUUAUUAACAUAAAUUGAAGCAGUUUCAUUCUCCUAAGAGUCGUACCUGAUCAUGUUGAAUUCUGGGUUUAAAGUUUGAUUUGUUUAUCAAUAAUAAGAAUUAUAUAAAGAUAUAGAAAUUACGUAUUUAAAUUACAAAAAAAGUUCUCAAAAUAUCCUGCGCUUCACUUCUGACAAUAUUUUAAUCGUUUUUAAGCAUCCUUUAAUAUCCUUUGCGUGGAUCAUUCAUUUUCAUCUGGCCUAAUCAGAAAAGCAGACAAGUUGACUUCUACGAGAUAGUAUGUCAUUGCUGCAGGAUUCCCAUAAGGUUCUGUCUCUCCCUUCUCUUUCUUCCACUCCCUCCCUCCUCUCUCUUACUCACUCACUCUGUUUCUCUUGGGAACUAUGCACAUGUUGACCAGUUGGAGGGGAUUCAGACGCAGCAGCUGGUUGCUUGCUGUGGAACAGAUUGGGAGAAUCGCGUUCGCAUAUGUACCCAUCAGUAAUGCUACAUCGGUGGUAUUCAAAGCCUACAGGGAACGUUACAUUGCCAGAAUUGUGACACGUUCGCAUGAUUUUCGUAUACUAAGUUCACGCGUACUUGUGUAUAGAAAACAUCGACAAGGAAAGAAUGGCGCUGUGAAAGUGCCGUGCGUCGAUUUUUCAUAGCCGUCAUACUUGAAAGAUCCGUCUCUCCGACUCCGGCUGGAGCGCAGCAACGGCGUGCAUAGCAGCGACGGUUGGAAAAUGUGAGCGCGCACGUGACAACGCGUAUCGUAGCGAGCCGUGCACGUUUCGUCUCGACCGUCGAUAAACCAAAAUCUUCAAAUAUCUAUUUCCGUUUUACGCGCAACGUAUCCUCACUUGUAUCGUCUAUAUGGGCGUUUCAUUUCAACUCCAUUGUGUACACGUACGGGACAAAAUUCAACGAUUUAUAUGAAAAUUUCGUUCUUCGAAGCAACGUGCCUACGAUAAAAACAUAAAGAGGUAUCACCAAUCAGCAGCGAAAAACGCAAAGGGAUCACGAAUUUCCAAACGGCAUCUCCAAGUAACAGCGAUAAUUAAUACUGAUGUAGAAAAUAUAACUUCCAAAUUAUAUCGAUGAAUAUCCAUCGGGAAGCAGCUUACCGCGAUGUUCCUUGAACGAAAAACUCAUGAGGCAUGCAAAACUCACGGGCACGAUGACGACGUCGUUUUCGUGCAUGGAGAUGUCAUUGUGAUUUCCGAUGUGGUACGCAUAGAAACGAUCACGUCGAAUGGAAUCUACUCUGUGAUAGGUAGUUGCAUAGGCACCCGUAUGCCCGGCGAGCUUGCCUUCCUCAGAGACACGAGUGGGAUUCUAGCGUGACUUUAAUCCCGAUCGACAUGCCAUCGAUGGCAUUCGAACGGAGAACGGACCCACACACGUGUUAUUGCGAGAUUGAUGUAACUGUGCGAAAGCGUUACACAGCCAUAAUAAACGACACAGUAGAAAUUUCCGAGGAUCCACGACGGCAACGACGAUUGCUUAAGGUCUCGCUCGAGAUGGCAAGGUAAAUUGCGCCACCUCCAUCCGCUCGAUUUCUCCACGUGAUGUUUACACAGGGUCUUUUUCUACACAAACUAUAUAAGUUACCGAACUGUAUACAUCUGAGAGCAUAUUCCUGCGACUGUGUAAGUCCUGUGUAAGAAAAAUUCCGUAACUAGGUCCGAAAUGACAUAAAUAAGGAUCGGAACUCGGUCAGUUAUGCAUAGAUAUGUGUCCACCGACGCGUACAGAUGCAAAUAUCUAAGAAACUUGACGUGACUCUUCUUUCCGAAAAGGAAAUUUUAUCGGGACUAGGAUCGAUAACGAGAACAACGUUCUAAAAAAAGAAAUAACAGCGCCGUAACGGAAAAGAAGUGAGUUGAGAAUUAGUCACAAAUUAAGAGGAAAACUUCAGUCCAAAGUAAUAACAAUUGUGCAACUUGCGGAAAUAUAAGAGUAUAGAAAAACAAGCAAAAGGAAAAGCAUCAAAAGAGAGAGGUGUUGUCAGAAUAAUUAAUACGAUAAUUGUCGAAAAAGAAAACGUCCAAUAGUUGCGGACAUUCAUUCCGCCCUCUCUAUUUUAUCUCAUAUUAUUUUGAAUUGUAUUCUUCCGUACGUGCCCCUUCGAUUUGAAUUUAAAAUAUGAUGCUCAUCGGGAAUGUCAAAGGAUGCACUUCCUCAAAUCGAAUCGAAUCCUAACAAUUUACUCUGGAAACCAAUGAGCUGCAACUGCUCUUUUCAAUUGAUGCAGUCACGCUUAAAUCUUUAUUGCUUUUGCUUUCGCAAGAAGCAAACUGGCACGGCCCACAUACAAGUACUUUAAUCGAUCACUGUUCUGUGACGAAUACUUAUGAAUUUUCUAACAGAGAGAGCUGCGGUUGUUAUUGUCAGAAUCUUGAGUAAAUGUUUCAAUCACAAUUGUUUGUAUCUCCGAUAUACAUAGAUAUGAAAUAUUGUUUUCUUCGACAUCAUUGCCAAAAUUAUCAAUGAAAUGAUAAUUUGGAUCGAUAAUCUUCUUCAACAUUAUUAUAGUUAUUUAUAAGAAGGAGAGAAGGAAUAGAAAGAUGGUGUGUAUAUAUAUAUAUAACAUUUGAUGCGCACACAUCGUAGUCGGGAACAAAUGUCAAAUGGAAAUGUCUGUGCGCUAUGUACGUCGAUGUUUGAUGAUGAUCAGACUACAGGCGAUCUUGUCAUUGAUCUUGGAGCAUACACUUCACCGUCAUCAAGAUCUUAACGACUAGCGGACGACAGCAAUAAAUUUGAUUGGACUGGCAAAUUGUCGGUCGCUCCGAGGAGGAACAAGCGACGAGUUCGGAAUAACCACUUCUUCGUAAUAGCCAAUUGUCGCGCGACGGAAUUGUCCAAGUGUGAGUGCGUGUCCUAAGUAAACAAUAAAAUCGUUUCAGAGACUACAGUUCGCGUCGUGUCAUCGUUCUAUCGUGACGGAAUCCACGCUAAAUCCCUUUCAUCGUUAGCUGCUUUUUCGCUUCGUAUAAAUAUUUAAUAGUUUUGUCGCCUCGAGAGACAAGUGAACAUCAUGUUCCGCUAGUCAGAGCCGACUCGAAUAGAAGACUCGAUUUAUGCAUUUACAUCAAGCUAAUCAGCAUUUUAGAAGUUUAUAACUAACAAUAAGCCUUCAAGCGUAAUUUGCGUCUUGCGCUCCGAGAGGAAAGCCUGAGCGCCAAGAGGGAAUAAGUCAAUGAACUUUUCCAGCUUUAUUUAGCCAAAGAAUUAUAUUACAGUUUUAUAAAGUCUCACAACUUCGAAGCUUUAUUCUACCAAAGAGAGUCAAAGCAUUCUUUAUUUUAUCGCUGACAGCGAUAAUAUACUGCCAUUGGUAAUUUAUAAAAGAAGCAAUAAUCCGAAGAAUCGAUCUUGUCGCGUCUAGAAUACUCGAAAAUCAAGAUUCUUAAAAGGAUUAGAGAUCUCAAUAGGAUUUCGAGAUAUAUCAAGUGGCACUAUAGUACAAUCUCCAAAUGAAAUUUCGCAAGUCCUCGUCCAGUCCGAAAAUGGAAUUACUCUCAAGACAUCCCUCAGAUGGGAGGAUGUCGAUCUUGAAAAGGUCGAAAUCCUUCCGAGCAUCCAUGAAACUGAUGUCAAAGAUACGCAGUCACGCGAAUCUGCGAUUGCCCACUGGUUUCGAUCUCUCGCCCGUCUCGGAGAACUGUACCGUCAAAAAAAGAGAGCGUAAUCGCCAUGUCCUCGAAGAAUCUCAAGACAAGAGAUCAUCGAAUCCGCAAAACGAUCCCGAAGAUCCGAGUUCACGCAUCGAGGAUAACGUUAGUGACAAGACAUCCUCGAGUCUUGGAAAGAUUUCUUUGUCAGCGAAUGAUGUUGAUUCACAAGAGAUCACGAAAGAUUUCAAGAGCAAACUAUCCCUUACUGAUCAAAUAAUCAGUACGGACGGCAAAAAUGUGGAAAGUCCCGCGACAAAGGAUGAAGAUGCGAAAUCACCAAAGCUCAUUGACAUUUUUCGCAAGAAAUACACCGUAGAGAACUCGUAUCCUCAAGGGAAGGAACCAAACAAACAUAUCUUCUACGAGAAUCCAACAUUCGUAUUGGACAGUUCCUUCGACUCCUCUGUUUCUAGUUUCCUCUUUGAGACUGAACAAGAAGAGGAGGAGCAACGACGAGAUUGCGAAAGCAAGUAUACAGAGUCCCACGAGUGCAAGGUUCUGACCGUUGUCGUGGAUUCCCAUAAAGCUGCAACUAACCAGCAACUUUAUUGCAAGCGAGAUGAGCACGAGGACAAAGAUUGUCUCAAAAACGAAAGUACGAAGAACGCGUUCCCUCCUAGAUGCGAAACAAGCAGCGAAGACUCGCAGGCAAGCGUGACGACCGAGAGCCGAAGAACUGCCGAGUCGUUUGCCGGAUUUGAUCGCUCAAAGAUAAAACUUUAUUGUAAGAUACACGAAACGGAAACGCGGAACGUGUUAAACCGUUUGCAAGAUGAAAGAUUUCUCGACAAUAUCAAGACCUAUCCUUCCAUGUCCUGUAAAAUCAGGACAGUUGACAUCACCAACUUUUGGACGAGUAAACGUGGUAGUAGUUUUCGAAAUAAGAUGGCAGCCAGUAGAAAAAGAGACGCAAAGGAAGCGAAGGAUUACAAGCGGGUCGGUCAGGAGCAAGUUCUCGUGUCGACGUCGUCGGGAUCAAAGUUACACUCAUUACAAGGGAUGGAGUUUCUAGAAGGUUUUGGCAAGAAGAAACAACAGCCCCAUCAACAACUAAAUAACGUGUCAUCGAUACACGUCAGUCCUCUCUCGGCCCAAUCUCUCAAUAUACACUUGCAUGCUCUAUUUGCGGCUGUGGAACAUGGUCACGUCGAUAAAGCGCGAACCAUUUUGGAAUCUACCGAUGUGGACGUAAAUAGUGUUAACAGCGACGGCUUGUCACUAUUAGAUGUUGCUGUGCUUAGCAACAACAGACCACUGGCAAAAAUGUUGGUUGCGUUCGGUGCGCAGGAAGGGAAUCAAUUUAAAUCUCCGGAAUCUCUCGGAAGUCAUUUAGCAUCGUUGCUCUCGGAAGCGGAACACAGAGUACAAGAACUCGGCGGCAGUAUUUCUGGCAGCAGUGGGACCACUCUGCUGGAACCACCAAGCAGUCAUAGAGCAAGUUUUUCCACGCAACACAAUAAUCUCACGGGAUGCAGCGGUAACACAGAGGACAAGCAGCUCACCUUAUGGGAAAGAAGAGCCCGAGCCCUCAGAAAGAUGUUACUGGGUUUUGACCAAGCACGACCACCCGACAUACCCUUCCUGGUUGCAGUUGACGUUACCGGUACAACUUCGAUAACGAUCAGAUUUCAAGAACCAGACUCGCACGACUCUCCAAUCUGCACCAAGUUUAAAGUUCAGUGGAGUUUACACGAUGACUUCUCAACGAUUUGUGGCGAGAAGGAGGUUCUGGACAUGAAGCAAAGGGAGUGUCAAAUAGAAGGUCUAACGCAAGGGCAAAAGUAUCACUUUCGUGCUGCUGCUGGAAAUUUGAAGGGUUUCAGUAGAUUUAGGAAUUCGACACCCGCACAUGUUACACCUAGUAGUUGGAGAGACAUAGAUGGCAGAGUACCAAGAUUUGCGGGACGCUUGGAACAAUUAAACACGCUAUUCACCGAUAUAAGGCGACCGGAGUACACGCAGGAGACACCUGCAGUACAAAGGCGAAAUCCGAAGAAAAAGACAACGAUAAAACAACUGUUUACGGCGACGAGUAAAUUCCAAAAAAAUCUUAGGCGAGGCGUGUUCCUCGCGUGCCUACUUUACCACGAGGAUAAGGUGCUCGUUACCAAUGAGGAUUUCUUACCGGUGAUCGAAAUCGACGAAACGUAUCCUAGCUGCAUCUACAACGAUUUUCAUUGGCUGAUGAAGGUUGCUUGCACUUGGGACGACGUUAAAUCCCUUCGACAAGAUAUGGAAAAAAGUCACAGCAGUUCAACCAAUCAUUUUAGGAUAAAACUGCUUCAAGCUGCUGCUCAAAUGCAGGCUGCAUUGUGCAUACAAGAUCUCGGACAGUUAUAUCACAAACCGAUUAGAGACAUCCAAGGCACUUUAGUGUUGUCGACGGUAAAUUAUAUAAAAUCGCCGAAACUGGUUUCUGUAUUGAACAGUAGAUGGUUGCCACUCAGUAAGAUAAUAAAGAAAGUCAUAACACACGAGGAUAGUAAUGUCGCUGAUAUCUUGAUGGCCAGCAUACAAGAGCAAAUGACAUAUCAUCAAGUCAGUAAUAUCAAACUGUCUAAAGGCUUAUAUCUCGGUUACUUGAAAAUGCAAAGCAGCGUCGAUCUCAUACAAGUUGUUGUCCCGACCAAGUCUCCGAAUGUAUUGCCACACUGCAAGAUUCGCGAUAAUCCACACGUUUCCGCGGAGGAGUGGGAUUACCUAAAGAGAGUAACACAUAUCUGCACGUCUGAAUUUUCCGCAAAGGAGUCUGAAGAGAAGGAGAAUGUAACGAACGAAGCUCAGGGGACGGAACAGCAGAAACUGUUCGUUGAUUUGGUAGCUGCGACGGCGCGACGACUGUUCAAUUACAUGGAGAUUAGUCUGGAGGAUUCGCUGGUACAUCGGCUUUAUGACGCCGAAGUGAUCGAUUUGACACACGACGUAUCAUUCCUAAUCACUGUGCCACCCGCCGAAACUGCUUGCUGCGUGCCCGGUACACGGGAGAUCCUGCUGCAACGUGGCGAUCUGCUAUCGCUGCCGAUCCAGGUCUUCGAAAUGGUGCAUUUAAAUACCUAUCAGAAGGACGUAAUUAAUCGUUAUUCAAGACUCAGCUGCAUCCUAGAACUUGACACGGCGCAAGCUCAGCAUAAUCACAGGGAAGCAUUCAGCUCUUUAGAGUUAAGUGUCGCUAAGGACAAACUAGCGAGAUUGCAGGACCUGCAAACGCAAGUGAACACGGUAUGGAAAGGCGCUAGAUGGCUGAUUGACGUUAUAACUUUCGCAAGAGAUCGCAGCUCCUCCCAACAGAGUACCGGCAUAUUUAUAAAGCAUCUGCUUAGUCUGGACAGGAACAAAAAUAGUAACAGCAGUAAUAGUCUGAAGCGAAGUCUAUUACAAUUGCCGUCUAGGGAUCCCAAGCUCGUGAAAUCGAGUCCCGGCCGAGGCAGUUGGCCGGGACCGAAUCUCUCCAAUUCAUCCUCCAAUCUUCUCACGACGGAAUUCAGCAAGAGUGAGCAACAACUGCCUAGCGGACAAUACGUACGCAAGGGUAGUAAUACUUCUAACGCAUCCACCGGUUCGGAGCAGCAAAAGUCAUCUUGCGCACCGAUGAGUAGCAAUAGCAAUUUAAGCAAUCUCACGACCACCAGCAGCACUAACCAUUUGGUACCGAUGCAAAACACGAGGUUACCACCCUCCAAAUCCGAAGACACUCUAAUUCUCGCCAGGUAUAAGCACAGUCCGCGAAAUCGAUCCGCCACGAUAACGUCGGCAUCGGCUAGCACGAGUCCGUUACUGAGUAUCAAGCCCAUCAUCUACGGCGGCUCGCUCUUGAGUGUAUCCACAGCGAUGACCAACACCACGAGCCUGCUCAGCGUGAGCAACACGAACUCGGACAGCUUGCACUCUUUGAGUAGCGACGAAUACGCUACGCCGAAUUCGAGUGUCUGUUUGAAACCGACCGGUCAUCCAAUCAAAGUGAAAGCGUUUAAACCGACCGCGAGCGUUGCGGCGAUGGCCACCGUUUCGCAGGAUAACCAACUCGACGAAGAAAAAGAAGAGGCGAAAAUGAUGCCAGCACCACUACCAGGCAUUCUUCAGGGAACACAAGUCUAACCCGAUUAUAAUUAAAAACCGCUCGCUUGGUCUUCUAGUGCAAACCGAUGUAGCAGACAUAUUGAGUUUACGCGGCUUACGAAACUGGUUUGGCAGCUGGCACGAGUUUAAAGCUACACGUAACACCAAGGACCACGGCACGGGAGGUCGUGGAUCUCGUCGUUAAACAGCUGAACAUGGCUGUAGGUCUAAAAGGUC